UGAAAUCGCUGUGAAGAUGCAGUGUACCCGCGGCUAGACGGAAAGACCCCGUGAACCUUUACUACAGCUUGGCACUGAACAUUGAACCUACAUGUGUAGGAUAGGUGGGAGGCUAUGAAGACGUGACGCCAGUUGCGUUGGAGCCGUCCUUGAAAUACCACCCUUGUAUGUUUGAUGUUCUAACUUAGACCCAUUAUCUGGGUUGAGGACAGUGCCUGGUGGGUAGUUUGACUGGGGCGGUCUCCUCCCAAAGAGUAACGGAGGAGCACGAAGGUGGGCUAAUCACGGUUGGACAUCGUGAGGUUAGUGCAAUGGCAUAAGCCCGCUUAACUGCGAGAAUGACGGUUCGAGCAGGUGCGA
This 360-nucleotide ribosomal RNA is filed under the name Vibrio cholerae. RNAcentral describes it as "partial 23S ribosomal RNA". It matches the Rfam family "Bacterial large subunit ribosomal RNA", at positions 2043 to 2402 of the family's 2925-position model. The record is from RNAcentral. Lineage: Bacteria; Pseudomonadati; Pseudomonadota; Gammaproteobacteria; Vibrionales; Vibrionaceae.